GUUGGUGGCUAGAGCGGAGAGGGUCCACCCGAUCCCAUCUCGAACUCGGAAGUUAAGCUCUCCAGCGCCGAUGGUACUGCGACCGAGAGGUCGUGGGAGAGUAGGUCGCUGCCAACC
RNAcentral lists this ribosomal RNA (117 nucleotides) under Lujinxingia vulgaris. The record is from RNAcentral. Lineage: Bacteria; Deltaproteobacteria; Bradymonadales; Lujinxingiaceae.